GGAUGUAAGGGCAAUCUGGCUGUGACAUCUGUCACCUCAUUGACUGGCAGGGUUGAUUCGGCUGAUCUGGCCAGCUGGGUGGGUAUUCCCUUUCUACCUCACUGCUCCAUGUGCGUACCAACCAAAGCCCUGGAAUUGAUCAGAUCCUUCCUCCACAGAGAAGGACCAUUCUUCUGUCAAAGGUAUAUGAGUGCUAUACUCCCUUGCUAGAAUCUCCAAACUCUUAAAACAUCAUUAAGAUUAAGAAUAUUUAUUUAUUUAAUUAUUUUUGAGGUGGGGUAUCCUAUGUCACCCAGG
Molecule: small nuclear RNA, 297 nt
Filed under: Cebus imitator (Panamanian white-faced capuchin)
Lineage: Eukaryota; Metazoa; Chordata; Mammalia; Primates; Cebidae
Description: 7SK RNA (ENSCCAG00000004120.1)
Rfam family: 7SK RNA
About the family: 7SK was discovered as an abundant small nuclear RNA in the mid-70s but a possible function has only recently been suggested. Two independent studies have found that 7SK RNA binds the CDK9/cyclin T complex (known as elongation factor P-TEFb).
Source: Rfam by way of RNAcentral